UAAACGCAAUAAUGUACCGGUACAGCAAAGUAAGAUCUGCAAAUAAGUCAACAUGACCAAAAGUCAAUUGACCCUCUUCAAGAGUUAUUGCCUUUUAUAAAAUUGAGAAUGGAAAUGGGGAAUAGUAAAUUUUUUACAAUUUUCAUAAAUUUUGUAAAUUUUUGCAAAACAUUUUCCUCUAAAACUACUGGGCAAAGUUCACUAUAGAUAGAGCUAAUUGUGAGCAGCAAGAAUGUUCAGGAAAGUCAGAUCUACAAACACAUCACAGUGGGGACAUAUUUUUCAUAAGGCGGGCCAGACAACCUAAAGGGGGGGCUCAAGUCAUGCUUCAGUGAUUCCCUAUAUAAUAAUAAUCAACCAAAUUUUUCUCAUGAAAGUGAUGCUUUUGCUGUAAAUGUGCAUCAUGACUGAAAUAUAAUGUGAUCUGUCAUACUAGCAUUGACUAGUGCAUCAUGACUAAAAUAUUGCUGUAUUGUACAAAAAGUGUACAAACACACCAGUUAGUAACUCUAUAUAUUAUUUAUUUAGUAAUCGUUCAUGAUAAUGUUACUUGUUUGUGAUAAAUCCUGCAUGGUAAUGUUAUCUGUUGGGAUUACAAUGUAUUACUUCAUUAAAAUGUUACCUGUUUGGGAAUAAUACUUCAUGAUAAUUUAACUUGUUUGGGAUUAAUACUUCAUGAUAAUGUAACUUGUUUGGGAUUAAUACUUCAUGAUAAUGUAACUUGUUUGGGAUAACUACUUUAUUAUAAUGUUAUUUGUUUGGGAUAAUACUUCAAUGUUCCGUAAUUGUUAAUUUUGAGAGCAUUAAAAUGUUUUUGAAGCA
RNAcentral lists this long non-coding RNA (822 nucleotides) under Mytilus galloprovincialis (Mediterranean mussel). The record is from RNAcentral. Lineage: Eukaryota; Metazoa; Mollusca; Bivalvia; Mytilida; Mytilidae.